Molecule: ribosomal RNA, 708 nt
Filed under: Staphylococcus aureus
Lineage: Bacteria; Bacillati; Bacillota; Bacilli; Caryophanales; Staphylococcaceae
Description: partial 23S ribosomal RNA
Rfam family: Bacterial large subunit ribosomal RNA
Source: RNAcentral
CUCCUAAGGCUAAAUACUCUCUAGUGACCGAUAGUGAACCAGUACCGUGAGGGAAAGGUGAAAAGCACCCCGGAAGGGGAGUGAAAUAGAACCUGAAACCGUGUGCUUACAAGUAGUCAGAGCCCGUUAAUGGGUGAUGGCGUGCCUUUUGUAGAAUGAACCGGCGAGUUACGAUUUGAUGCAAGGUUAAGCAGUAAAUGUGGAGCCGUAGCGAAAGCGAGUCUGAAUAGGGCGUUUAGUAUUUGGUCGUAGACCCGAAACCAGGUGAUCUACCCUUGGUCAGGUUGAAGUUCAGGUAACACUGAAUGGAGGACCGAACCGACUUACGUUGAAAAGUGAGCGGAUGAACUGAGGGUAGCGGAGAAAUUCCAAUCGAACCUGGAGAUAGCUGGUUCUCUCCGAAAUAGCUUUAGGGCUAGCCUCAAGUGAUGAUUAUUGGAGGUAGAGCACUGUUUGGACGAGGGGCCCCUCUCGGGUUACCGAAUUCAGACAAACUCCGAAUGCCAAUUAAUUUAACUUGGGAGUCAGAACAUGGGUGAUAAGGUCCGUGUUCGAAAGGGAAACAGCCCAGACCACCAGCUAAGGUCCCAAAAUAUAUGUUAAGUGGAAAAGGAUGUGGCGUUGCCCAGACAACUAGGAUGUUGGCUUAGAAGCAGCCAUCAUUUAAAGAGUGCGUAAUAGCUCACUAGUCGAGUGACACUGCGCCGA